Macaca mulatta (Rhesus monkey) is the source of this 552-nucleotide non-coding RNA. NCBI's taxonomy places the organism in Eukaryota, Metazoa, Chordata, Mammalia, Primates, Cercopithecidae. The record is from RefSeq and is a predicted model, not a curated record.
CCAGUGUCCCUUGCAGUUAGUUAUGGCCAUGAGACUGAGUUCCAGCCAAUGCAAUGGGAGUAGUGGAGGAGAUGGGGGUGUGUGCAACUUCCAAGCCUAGCUGAAAAGAACCUCCCCUGUGUAAUGUUCAUGCUCUUUCCUUGUUCCAGGGCACUGGGAUGGUGGUGUCCAGGACAACUCAGACACAUCAGAAUGGUCAUUCAGCCUGGGUUCUUGAAUGACUGUGGAACGGUGGGGGUGUGGAGGGAGAACCACUGACUGAAAUACCUUCCCAGGACUGGCACAGCAGAGAAAACAAACUUCUUGUUCUUUGGGUCACUGAGUCUUUUGGGUGUAUUUGUUACUUCAGCUUAACCAUCCCUGACUAAUACAACCCAGAUUGCCUUCUGCUUGAACAUUUUCAAUGCUGGAAGUUUCACCACUUUUCAAGGCAGUAAAGACCAGGUAGAGCAGAGCCAUGGAAGAAAUGCUCCUCAGAUAAUUUUGGUUUAGUCCUCUCCCCAGUUUAAACUUGCUGUGCAAGCUGACUGAAAGAAAUCUUAUAAAAUGGAG